RNAcentral lists this ribosomal RNA (1129 nucleotides) under Gerris gracilicornis. Its description in RNAcentral is "partial 16S ribosomal RNA". The record is from RNAcentral. Lineage: Eukaryota; Metazoa; Arthropoda; Insecta; Hemiptera; Gerridae.
AAGAAUUAUUUUAUUAUGUUUUUUAUUUUAUUAUUUUUAAUAAAAAUAUUUUUUAUUUUAGUAUUUUUGAAUAAAUAUUAUUUAAUUAUAGUUAAUUUUACUGUGAAGGAUUAUUUUUAUUUUAUAAAAAAGUAUUUUUUGUUUGAAGUACCUUUUGCAUCAGGGUUUAUUAAAAUGUUAAAAUAAUCUUUUUUUCUCGAAAUUUUAAGAUUUAAGAUUAAAUGUUAGUUUUUGUUACAAAAUAAUUUAUAAUUUUUUCUUAGAGGUUAUAUGCUUUUCAUUUAAAAUGAUAUCUAGUUCACUAAUAUUUGAAUUUAAUUCAUUUUUAAUAUUGCUUUAUUUUAAUUUUAUUAUUUAAAGUUUAUUAAUUAAAGAUUUAUGGGGAUAAGCUCAUAUUUUUUAUUAAAAAUUUUUGUUUUAUUAAAUUUUUUGUAGGAUUAAUAAUUUCCAUCUUUAUUUUGUUAUAAUUAUUUUUUUAUUUUAAUGAUUUUUUAUUAUUUUAAUUUUUUAUUAGUGUUUUUAUUAUAAUUUUAUAUAUUGAUUAAUAAUGAUAUAAUUAGUAAUUUUUAUAAUUUGAGAAUAGUAAUUCGGCAAAUUUUAUUUUCACCUGUUUAACAAAAACAUGUUCUUUUGAUUUUAAUUUAAGAUCAGGCCUGCCCAUUGAUUUUUUUGAAUUAAAAGGCUGCGGUAUUUUAACUGUACGAAGGUAGCAUAAUCAUUUGUCUUUUAAUUGAAGGCUAGUAUGAAUGGUUUGAUGAAAAAUAAACUUUCUUUUUUCAAUUGUUUUGAAUUUAAUUUUUUAGUUAAAAAGCUAGAAUUUUUUUAUAGGACGAGAAGACCCUAUAGAAGUUAACUUUAUUUAUUAAUUUUUAUUUUUUGUUAAUUAAAUAAUUUUUUAGAAUAUAAAGUUUUGUUGGGGUGACAUUGAAAUUUAUUUAACUUUUAAUAUUUUUGUUCAUUAAUUUAUGUUUUUUUGAUCCAAAAUUUUUGAUUAUAAGAUUAACUUACCUUAGGGAUAACAGCGUAAUUUUUUCGGAGAGUUCAUAUCGAUGAAAAAGUUUGCGACCUCGAUGUUGAAUUAAGAUAAGAUUUGGGUGUAAAAUUUCAAUUUUCUUGGUCUGUUCGACCA